ACCCCUACGGGGGGCAGCAGUGGGGAAUCUUGCGCAAUGGGGGAAACCCUGACGCAGCAACGCCGCGUGUGUGAUGAAGGCUCUAGGGUCGUAAAGCACUGUCAAGAGGGAAGAAUUAUGACGGUACCUCUGAAGGAAGCACUGGCUAACUCCGUGCCAGCAGCCGCGGUAA
RNAcentral lists this ribosomal RNA (172 nucleotides) under uncultured delta proteobacterium. RNAcentral describes it as "partial 16S ribosomal RNA". It matches the Rfam family "Bacterial small subunit ribosomal RNA", at positions 335 to 523 of the family's 1533-position model. Lineage: Bacteria; Deltaproteobacteria. The record is from RNAcentral.